Molecule: RNA transcript, 527 nt
Organism: Ceratitis capitata (Mediterranean fruit fly)
Lineage: Eukaryota; Metazoa; Arthropoda; Insecta; Diptera; Tephritidae
Gene: sun
Gene name: protein stunted
Exons: 5
Source: RefSeq, a predicted model, not a curated record
UAUUUAUAAGUUCUCUGUAUGACAUCUUCAACUGUCAUACGGUAAUUUUUUCGCCAAGAAAUUAGCAGUAUCAGCGAGUGCAGUGAUUUUUGGAUUUAUUCCGAUAUUUCUACAAAAAAUAAAAAUAAAUAAAUCUUAACAAAAUGACCAACGCAUGGAGAGCAGCUGGACUUACCUAUAUCCAAUACUCCAACAUCUGCGCUCGUGUUGUGCGUGAGGCGCUGAAGUCCAAUCUGAAAGCCGAUGCCGCCAAGCGCAAUGAGACACAUGUCAAAUUCACACCAUGGGCUAAUGGCAAACCAGCACAUGAGAAGUAAUAUCUUCACACGCUAUAUACUUCUAUUAGCUAAAGCAACGAAAUGAAUGUAGCCGCGUUGAAGAAUCUGCCUAAGCCAUUCCUUUUGGCAACGCUUUUACCAGCUCCAGCCAACAACAUCAUGGUUAAUUUCAUUUGAGUUACAGGAAUUUCCUUUGCUGUAUUCGAUUAUUUAUUAAUUAAUAAAAGGACAAGUCUCGUAAAACACAAA